Molecule: long non-coding RNA, 695 nt
Filed under: Ananas comosus (pineapple)
Lineage: Eukaryota; Viridiplantae; Streptophyta; Magnoliopsida; Poales; Bromeliaceae
Description: long non-coding RNA (ACOM_LNC013051)
Source: RNAcentral
UAUAUUUUAAUAUAUUUCAAUUUGAGUUGAGAUAGAAUACUAUCGAUAGUAAACGAGUCGUUUUACUACCGAUUUGUUUUCGAUGAUAGAGCUUCCAAAUUGACGAUCGGCUCCGUUAAAUAUGAUCUAAACCAUUUAAACUAUCUAGAAAUCAAAUUUCACGCACUUUCGAUAUUGUUCUUUUAUCCAUCAAAUGAACAGAAAAAUGAAUGACUGAAAAUGAAUAUUCUUUAAAAAAUGAUGAUAGGAGUCUUGUAAUCAAGAUCAAGAGUAUAGAUCUUGUUUUAAAUAGUUUAAAGAAUUUUCUAAUAAAAAUUCAAUUGAUUUGAAUAUCCUUAUGCCGUUAAACGAGAAAACGUCUCUUAUCGACCAUUAAAAUUACAAAUUUUGAAACCCUUUGAUCAUUAGGCAAAUGAUGUCGGAAAGAUUUGAAAUUUGAUUUCUAAACACUUCAAGUGGUAUAGAUCAUGUUCAACGAAGCCGAUCGUCAAUUUGGAAGCUCUAUCAUCGAAAACAAAUAGGUAGUAAAACGGCUCGUUUACUACUGAUAGCAUUCUAACAAAACUCUUUUAAUUUAGAGUAAACUUCAAUGAUUUAGAUCAUUUUCACUUUCCUACCAUCUGAUUCAAAAAAUUACAAUUAACUCUUCUGUGAUUUUAUUUCCAUUUUUAUCUAAAAAAAUUUACUAUCAAAUA